RNAcentral lists this ribosomal RNA (497 nucleotides) under uncultured bacterium. RNAcentral describes it as "partial 16S ribosomal RNA". It matches the Rfam family "Bacterial small subunit ribosomal RNA", at positions 28 to 507 of the family's 1533-position model. The record is from RNAcentral.
GAUGAACGCUGGCGGCGUGCCUAAUACAUGCAAGUCGAGCGAACAGACGAGGAGCUUGCUCCUCUGACGUUAGCGGAGGACGGGUGAGUAACACGUGGAUAACCUACCUAUCAGACUGGGAUAACUUCGGGAAACCGGAGCUAAUACCGGAUAAUAUAUUGAACCGCAUGGUUCAAUAGUGAAAGACGGUUUUGCUGUCUCUUAUAGAUGGAUCCGCGCCGCAUUAGCUAGUUGGUAAGGUAACGGCUUACCAAGGCAACGAUGCGUAGCCGACCUGAGAGAGUGAUCGGCCACACUAGAGCUGAGACGCGGUCCAGACUCCUACGAGAGGCAGCAGUAGCGAAUCUGCCGCAGUGGGCGAAAGCCUUGCAGAGCGGCGCCACGUGAGUGAUAAAGGUCUUCGGAUCGUAAAGCUCGGUUAUGAGUGGAGAACAAAUGUGUAAGUAACUAUGCACGUCGUGACGGUACCGGAUCAGAAAGCCACGGCUAACUACGUG